Non-coding RNA from Arvicanthis niloticus (Nile rat), 516 nucleotides. Lineage: Eukaryota; Metazoa; Chordata; Mammalia; Rodentia; Muridae. The record is from the annotation of a RefSeq genome assembly.
AAAUACAAAUAGCUUGCUGGGCAAGAAAUUGCAAGUCUGCAUUGAUCCCAGGCGGGAAGAAGAAUGAAGACAUCCAUUCGCACUAUAUUCCUACUCUUGUGGCUCUGGAUGGACUGGGAGAGCCAUGGAGAGAAGGUCGAACAGCUUCAUUCCACACUGAGUGUUCGAGAAGGAGACAGCGCUGUUAUCAACUGCACUUACACAGACACUGCUUCAUCAUACUUCCCUUGGUACAAGCAAGAAGCUGGAAAGGGUCUCCACUUUGUGAUAGACAUUCGUUCAAAUGUGGACAGAAAGCAGAACCAAAGACUUAUAGUUUUACUGGAUAAGAAAGCCAAAAGCUUCUCCCUGCACAUCACAACCACACAGCCUGAAGAUUCAGCCGUCUACUUCUGUUCAGCAAGCACACACUGUUUCCCGGGCACCUGCAGCCUAUCCUCAAACUUGCUAUGGGGGCUGGAGCCCCAUCCACAUCCUGUGUCUUGUAGUAAAGCAUUUGUCAUAUUGUUUAUUUGA